RNAcentral lists this ribosomal RNA (1499 nucleotides) under Weissella confusa. RNAcentral's name for it is "bacterial SSU rRNA". It matches the Rfam family "Bacterial small subunit ribosomal RNA". Lineage: Bacteria; Bacillati; Bacillota; Bacilli; Lactobacillales; Lactobacillaceae. The record is from RNAcentral.
GAUGAACGCUGGCGGCGUGCCUAAUACAUGCAAGUCGAACGCUUUGUGGUUCAACUGAUUUGAAGAGCUUGCUCAGAUAUGACGAUGGACAUUGCAAAGAGUGGCGAACGGGUGAGUAACACGUGGGAAACCUACCUCUUAGCAGGGGAUAACAUUUGGAAACAGAUGCUAAUACCGUAUAACAAUGACAACCGCAUGGUUGUUAUUUAAAAGAUGGUUCUGCUAUCACUAAGAGAUGGUCCCGCGGUGCAUUAGCUAGUUGGUAAGGUAAUGGCUUACCAAGGCGAUGAUGCAUAGCCGAGUUGAGAGACUGAUCGGCCACAAUGGGACUGAGACACGGCCCAUACUCCUACGGGAGGCAGCAGUAGGGAAUCUUCCACAAUGGGCGAAAGCCUGAUGGAGCAACGCCGCGUGUGUGAUGAAGGGUUUCGGCUCGUAAGACACUGUUGUAAGAGAAGAAUGACAUUGAGAGUAACUGUUCAAUGUGUGACGGUAUCUUACCAGAAAGGAACGGCUAAAUACGUGCCAGCAGCCGCGGUAAUACGUAUGUUCCAAGCGUUAUCCGGAUUUAUUGGGCGUAAAGCGAGCGCAGACGGUUAUUUAAGUCUGAAGUGAAAGCCCUCAGCUCAACUGAGGAAUUGCUUUGGAAACUGGAUGACUUGAGUGCAGUAGAGGAAAGUGGAACUCCAUGUGUAGCGGUGAAAUGCGUAGAUAUAUGGAAGAACACCAGUGGCGAAGGCGGCUUUCUGGACUGUAACUGACGUUGAGGCUCGAAAGUGUGGGUAGCAAACAGGAUUAGAUACCCUGGUAGUCCACACCGUAAACGAUGAGUGCUAGGUGUUUGAGGGUUUCCGCCCUUAAGUGCCGCAGCUAACGCAUUAAGCACUCCGCCUGGGGAGUACGACCGCAAGGUUGAAACUCAAAGGAAUUGACGGGGACCCGCACAAGCGGUGGAGCAUGUGGUUUAAUUCGAAGCAACGCGAAGAACCUUACCAGGUCUUGACAUCCCUUGACAACUCCAGAGAUGGAGCGUUCCCUUCGGGGACAAGGUGACAGGUGGUGCAUGGUUGUCGUCAGCUCGUGUCGUGAGAUGUUGGGUUAAGUCCCGCAACGAGCGCAACCCUUAUUACUAGUUGCCAGCAUUCAGUUGGGCACUCUAGUGAGACUGCCGGUGACAAACCGGAGGAAGGUGGGGAUGACGUCAAAUCAUCAUGCCCCUUAUGACCUGGGCUACACACGUGCUACAAUGGCGUAUACAACGAGUUGCCAACCCGCGAGGGUGAGCUAAUCUCUUAAAGUACGUCUCAGUUCGGAUUGUAGGCUGCAACUCGCCUACAUGAAGUCGGAAUCGCUAGUAAUCGCGGAUCAGCACGCCGCGGUGAAUACGUUCCCGGGUCUUGUACACACCGCCCGUCACACCAUGAGAGUUUGUAACACCCAAAGCCGGUGGGGUAACCUUCGGGAGCCAGCCGUCUAAGGUGGGACAGAUGAUUAGGGUG